Non-coding RNA from Cucurbita moschata (crookneck pumpkin), 83 nucleotides. The record is from the annotation of a RefSeq genome assembly. NCBI's taxonomy places the organism in Eukaryota, Viridiplantae, Streptophyta, Magnoliopsida, Cucurbitales, Cucurbitaceae.
GUGGGUGUGCCGGAGUGGUUAUCGGGCAUGACUAGAAAUCAUGUGGGUUUUUACCCGCGCAGGUUCGAAUCCUGUCGCUCACG